AAGUCGUAACAAGGUCUCCGUAGGUGAACCUGCGGAGGGAUCAUUAACACGUAUCCAAACGUUAUAAACCAAAACCGUGCUCCUUUUAUGUUGUGUUUUACACAAGUCCUAUAGAGAUAGGUGAUUCGUAAGUCAUAGAUGGAAUUUCACUAUGGAAACAUAGUGGUCUACUUACAAUCUAUCGGUCAUAAGACCAACUGAUUUUCUAUAGUGUAUAAAAGCCAUCUGGUUAUAUGUGCCAACCCGGUAUCGACCCGGAGCCAUAUAACCUUAGUAAACCCCCAACCUUUUUUUACCCCUUUCAAUAUAUUAAUAACUGACUUAACUUUUCUGAAUUGUAAUGAUUUAGAAAGUAUACGAAACGCGAACAACUCUUAGCAAUGGAUAUCUUGGUUCUCGUACCGAUGAAGACGCAGC
RNAcentral lists this unclassified non-coding RNA (417 nucleotides) under fungal sp. RNAcentral describes it as "partial internal transcribed spacer region". The stretch from base 1 to 46 matches the Rfam family "Eukaryotic small subunit ribosomal RNA", at positions 1786 to 1831 of the family's 1831-position model. Lineage: Eukaryota; Fungi. The record is from RNAcentral.